UUGACAGCCCUAGAGACUAAAAUCCUCCAUUAGUCCACAGGGCAAGUACAGUUUGGGCAGUGUCAGAGCAAGCUUCCUCCAUCAAUGUACCUAAAUACUUCCUUAGAAGGACCACUAGGAGUAAUUCAUUUUCUCUCUCCAUUGUUUGAUUUGAACAA
This 158-nucleotide small RNA is filed under the name Gopherus agassizii (Agassiz's desert tortoise). RNAcentral's name for it is "TUC338 (ENSGAGG00000005928.1)". The record is from RNAcentral. Lineage: Eukaryota; Metazoa; Chordata; Testudines; Testudinidae.